RNAcentral lists this ribosomal RNA (497 nucleotides) under uncultured bacterium. Its description in RNAcentral is "partial 16S ribosomal RNA". It matches the Rfam family "Bacterial small subunit ribosomal RNA", at positions 28 to 507 of the family's 1533-position model. The record is from RNAcentral.
GAUGAACGCUGGCGGCGUGCCUAAUACAUGCAAGUCGAGCGAACGGACGAGAAGCUUGCUUUUCUGAUGUUAGCGGCGGACGGGUGAGUAACACGUGGAUAACCUACCUAUAAGACUGGGAUAACUUCGGGAAACCGGAGCUAAUACCGGAUAAUAUUUUGAACCGCAUGGUUCAAAAGUGAAAGACGGUCUUGCUGUCACUUAUAGAUGGAUCCGCGCUGCAUUAGCUAGUUGGUAAGGUAACGGCUUACCAAGGCAACGAUGCAUAGCCGACCUGAGAGGGUGAUCGGCCACACUGGAACUGAGACACGGUCCAGAGGCCUACGGGAGGCAGCAGUAGGGAAUCUUCCGCAAUGGGCGAAAGCCUGACGGAGCAACGCCGCGUGAGUGAUGAAGGUCUUCGGAUCGUAAAACUCUGUUAUUAGGGAAGAAAAUAUGUGUAAGUAACUGUGCACAUCUUGACGGUACCUAAUCAGAAAGCCACGGCUAACUACGUG